Molecule: ribosomal RNA, 492 nt
Filed under: uncultured bacterium
Lineage: Bacteria
Description: partial 16S ribosomal RNA
Rfam family: Bacterial small subunit ribosomal RNA
Source: RNAcentral
AGUGAACGCUGGCGGUAGGCCUAACACAUGCAAGUCGAACGGCAGCACAGUAAGAGCUUGCUCUUACGGGUGGCGAGUGGCGGACGGGUGAGGAAUACAUCGGAAUCUACUUUUUCGUGGGGGAUAACGUAGGGAAACUUACGCUAAUACCGCAUACGACCUACGGGUGAAAGCAGGGGAUCUUCGGACCUUGCGCGAUUGAAUGAGCCGAUGUCGGAUUAGCUAGUUGGCGGGGUAAAGGCCCACCAGGGCGACGAUCCGUAGCUGGUCUGAGAGGAGGAUCGGCGACACUGGAACUGGACCAGGGUCCAUACUCCUGCGGGAGGCAGCAGUGGGGAAUGUUGGACAAUGGGCGCAAGCCUGAUCCAGCCAUACGGCGUGGGUGAAGAAGGCGUUCGGGUUGUAAAGCCCUUUUGUUGGGAAAAAAAAGCAGCAGGUUAAUACCCCGCUGUUCUGACGGUACCCAAAAAAUAAGCACCGGCUAACUUCGUG